GCUGACUGGAUGUCUGCGUUGACUGUCUUGAAAAAGACCUUAUAGGUCGAAACGUCGACUAUUUAUUGAUGACUGCGAUGAACUAAUAAAAGCCUUUUAAUUUAUUGGACUGCCAACAGGACUUCAUCAACUUCAGAAGAAGAAGAGGAGGAAGGGAAGGGAUAAAAAGAAUAUAAGACUAAAAGAAUGGAAAGAUGGUGCAGGAAGGUUGUUCCAAACAUCAUGGAGAACUAACUACAGAUCUUCAGUGGAUGUAAGCUUGCUCAAAUCCUUCUUUCUCUUCAUGUAAUCACAGACAGACUCCAUGAUGUUGAGAUCAAGUUCUUAGGGGCCAUAUCAUCACUUCCAGGACUCACUGUUGUUCUUCAUUAUGCUGGAAAUAGUUCUUAAUGACAUUAUCUGUAUGUUUGGAGUCAUUGCCCUGCUGCAUAAUAAAUAUGGAGCCAAUCAGAUGCCUCCUUUAAUAACUGUUUGCAAGUGUACCUAGAAGAAUUGAUGCUGUUUUGAUGGCAAAGUGUGGCCACGCUAAAUAUUGAUUUGA
Long non-coding RNA from Pseudophryne corroboree (corroboree frog), 541 nucleotides. RefSeq lists it as uncharacterized. The transcript is spliced from 3 exons. The record is from RefSeq and is a predicted model, not a curated record. Lineage: Eukaryota; Metazoa; Chordata; Amphibia; Anura; Myobatrachidae.